This 496-nucleotide ribosomal RNA is filed under the name uncultured bacterium. RNAcentral's name for it is "partial 16S ribosomal RNA". It matches the Rfam family "Bacterial small subunit ribosomal RNA", at positions 30 to 507 of the family's 1533-position model. The record is from RNAcentral.
CGAACGCUGGCGGCGUGCCUAAUACAUGCAAGUCGAACGAGAGCGACCGGUGCUUGCACUGGUCAAUCUAGUGGCGAACGGGUGAGUAACACGUGGGUAACCUGCCCAUCAGAGGGGGAUAACAUUCGGAAACGGAUGCUAAAACCGCAUAGGUCUUCGAACCGCAUGGUUUGAAGAGGAAAAGAGGCGCAAGCUUCUGCUGAUGGAUGGACCCGCGGUGCAUUAGCUAGUUGGUGAGGUAACGGCUCACCAAGGCCGUGAUGCAUAGCCGACCUGAGAGGGUGAUCGGCCACAUUGGGACUGAGACACGGCCCAAACUCCUACGGGAGGCAGCAGUAGGGAAUCUUCCGCAAUGGACGCAAGUCUGACGGAGCAACGCCGCGUGAGUGAAGAAGGUUUUCGGAUCGUAAAACUCUGUUGUUAGAGAAGAACAAGUGCUAGAGUAACUGUUAGCGCCUUGACGGUAUCUAACCAGAAAGCCACGGCUAACUACGUG